Bactrocera oleae (olive fruit fly) is the source of this 427-nucleotide long non-coding RNA. RefSeq lists it as uncharacterized. NCBI's taxonomy places the organism in Eukaryota, Metazoa, Arthropoda, Insecta, Diptera, Tephritidae. The record is from RefSeq and is a predicted model, not a curated record.
AGUAGGUCAGUUUAGGUUAGUUAGCAGAACAAAGUAGACGCGUUUAGAUUCGUGUGUUGCGCGAAGUUAAAAAAAAAUAGAAAAUGGCAAACAGAGGAAGUUAAGCGCAGCAAAUUUUUCUAAAAAAAAAAAUUUUGUCUCUGGAAGAUGCCAAACCGCUCAAUGGAUUUCAGAACCCAAAAACUCAAGAAGAAGUUCAGUGUUCCCGUUAUGAUCGCCACGAUCACUUCAUUUCUGUUAUACCAGCUAAAAAACGGCGCAGAUGUUAAGGAAAUGGCUGCACCUCCAGCGUAACAACUUAUUGCGAAAAAUGUAAUGUUGGUUUAUGCUUUAAAUGUUUCAAAAGCUAUUAUUUUUAGCCCUAAUCUCACUUAUACCUCCUGCUCAAAUAUAAACGAGACUGGCUCAAUAAAACAAAAACGGUUAA